RNAcentral lists this ribosomal RNA (423 nucleotides) under uncultured bacterium. Its description in RNAcentral is "SSU rRNA". It matches the Rfam family "Bacterial small subunit ribosomal RNA", at positions 370 to 808 of the family's 1533-position model. The record is from RNAcentral.
AAUGGGGGAACCCUGAUGCAGCGACGCCGCGCUGGGAGGAAGAAGGUCUUCCGAUUGUAAACUCCUGUUGUUGAGGAAGAUAAUGACGGUACUCAACAAGGGAAGUGACGGCUAACUACNUGCCAGCAGCCGCGGUAAAACGUAGGUCACAAGCGUUGUCCGGAAUUACUGGGUGUAAAGGGAGCGCAGGCGGGAAGACNAGUUGGAAGUGAAAUCCAUGGGCUCNACCCAUGAACUGCUUUCAAAACUGUUUUUCUUGAGUAGUGCAGAGGUAGGCGGAAUUCCCGGUGUAGCGGUGGAAUGCGUANAUAUCGGGAGGAACACCAGUGGCGAAGGCGGCCUACUGGGCACCAACUGACGCUGAGGCUCGAAAGUGUGGGUAGCAAACAGGAUUAGAUACCCUGGUAGUCCAAGGGCGAAUUC